CCUACGGGAGGCAGCAGUGGGGAAUAUUGCACAAUGGGCGCAAGCCUGAUGCAGCGACGCCGCGUGCGGGAUGGAGGCCUUCGGGUUGUAAACCGCUUUUGUUCAAGGGCAAGGCACGGUCUGUGGCCGGGUUGAGUGGGUAGGUCGAAUAAGCACCGGCUAACUACGUGCCAGGAGCCGCGGUAUAACGUAGGGUGCAGGCGGUAUCCGGAUUUAUUGGGCGUGAAGGGCUCGUAGGCGGUUAGUCGCGUCCGGUGUGAAAGUCCAUCGCUGAACGGUGGAUCCGCGCCGGGUAGGGGCGGGCUUGAGUGCGGUAGAGGAGACUGGAAUGCCCGGUGUAGCGGUGACAUGUGUAGAUAUCGGGAAGAACACCAAUGGCGAAGGCAGGUCUCUGGGGCGUUACUGACGCUGAGGAGCGAAAGCGUGGGGAGUGAACAGGAUUAGAUACCCGAGUAGUC
RNAcentral lists this ribosomal RNA (458 nucleotides) under uncultured bacterium. RNAcentral's name for it is "partial 16S ribosomal RNA". It matches the Rfam family "Bacterial small subunit ribosomal RNA", at positions 338 to 795 of the family's 1533-position model. The record is from RNAcentral.